UAACUUGCCAAAUAAUAAUUAUAAUAUAUGCGAUGACGCUUAUAUGAGUAAUACCUCUUUUUUAUCCAUUCAAGAUGGUAGUGAUAAUGCAAAGUAUUUCAAAGAAAUUAUUCGCCAGCAAAGUUUCUUUAAAACUUAAUUGUGGCAGAUUGCAGACGAUUUAAGAGAAG
This is a long non-coding RNA of Pseudomyrmex gracilis, 170 nucleotides long. RefSeq lists it as uncharacterized. NCBI's taxonomy places the organism in Eukaryota, Metazoa, Arthropoda, Insecta, Hymenoptera, Formicidae. The transcript is spliced from 2 exons. The record is from RefSeq and is a predicted model, not a curated record.